GCGGCGGAGUCGGGAGGUGUGGAAUGUGCGGGUGCGCGAUCCGAGGAGCGCUGCUGCGCCGGGAUGGGAACCCCGCGGCUGCUGAUCCGGGGAGCGCCGCCCCAAACUGCAGUGACAAGCAGAAGCAGCUUUUAGCAGCAGGCAGUAGGAAGCUGAGGAGCUGGAGCUGAGGCAGAAGAGCUGGAGGAGACAGAAAUAUGGUAGGGUUUGGGGUACAACCCCUGUGGGGCUGGGAUAGGGAAUGUGGUGCUGGGGUGUGAACUGAAUGAUCACAGCUGAAAUUGCUGUAAGGGCUACCAUAGGGACUACAGAGUUAUUGCUGCAGGAGGGGUUGUCGUGUUGGGGCUCAACAACAUAGGCUCAAGAGCUGAGCUGAAACCACAUAGAGAGCUAGCGUUAAAACAAAGAGCCUGCCCUGAGAAGCAAAAGUAGCAUUGUGUGGCACUGCUGCGAAGAUGUUGAACAGAAAGUGAAAUGAGAGCUGGCAGUGAAAUAAAGCUUGUGGGACUGGAGCUGAAAUCACUGGGGCCGCGGUAGGGACUUGCAGUGCUGCAGCAUCAAUCACUGCUCAAAGGGAUACUUAUGGUAGAUCUAGAGAGUAACCAUAAAAUGGGACACAAAAUGACGAGCUGGAGACAGAAUAGUGACUGCUGGAACGGGGGUGAGGAUGGUGUUUCUAGACUUGGAGGUGCAGCCUCAAAAUUGGAGCCAAAGCCAAGGCCCUCAUGUUUAGGCCGGGAGCAGUUUCGCCUGACACAGCUGGAGAAUUGAACAGCGGGAGCUCCAAGAACGGAGAAAUAAAGCUUGUGGGUCAAGAGCUGAAAUCACCAGGGAUGGGAAAGGGGUCCUGUGGGGCGGCACGUAUGAGAACUGUACGGUUGACAUGGGGACUCCAGGAUUUGCGCCCUGAACUCACUGUAGGCCUGUGAUAACUGCUGCGGCUGAGUAUUGUGACUGCAACUAGAACACAAUGUGUGCAGUGGAAAACGGGGCGGAACUAUUGCACCAGGAAAUGAUGGCAAUGCUGGGAUAUUCCCCGAGUCUGUGAUGGCACUUCCAGCGAUGGAGACAAAAUCCCUGUGGGGCGGGCAAGUGCAUGGCAAGGCUGGGAUUCUGAAUAAAAAGGGAAAAAGAAAUGUAGCGCUGAGAACAAGGCUCUGGGCAUCCGGUUGAAAUGAGGCAGGGGCUGGCACAGUGACUGGGCAUUGCUGGGUGGCAGCUGAAAUCACACUGGGGCUGGGAUAUUGAUGGUGCGGUGGGGCUUACUGCCUCACGGGCAGGAGCUGAAGUGUUGCACAGCUGGGGCCCAGACCAAGAUGCUGCCCUUAGAAGCCGCAGAAGAGCGGAGCUGGAGCUGCAAGAACAGAGCUGCCUGUCAAAUAAAGCUUGUGGGUCAAGAGCUGAAAGAGCUGAA
Long non-coding RNA from Passer domesticus (house sparrow), 1414 nucleotides. RefSeq lists it as uncharacterized. The record is from RefSeq and is a predicted model, not a curated record. The transcript has 2 exons. NCBI's taxonomy places the organism in Eukaryota, Metazoa, Chordata, Aves, Passeriformes, Passeridae.